RNAcentral lists this long non-coding RNA (647 nucleotides) under Homo sapiens (human). RNAcentral's name for it is "HSALNT0394758". Lineage: Eukaryota; Metazoa; Chordata; Mammalia; Primates; Hominidae. The record is from RNAcentral.
AGACAGGAAAUAGGAUCUUAGUGGGUGGCCGCCAAGAGCGCACAGACUUUGAAGCAGGAAAAGACAGUCUCUAGAGCAACAUGGAAAGGAUCCAGAAUCUAAAAUAUUCCUGGAAAUGGAGAGUCCUGACAUGAUGGCCCCAUGAUGAAAAGAACCCAGGUUCCUGAGUCACGACGUGGACAUGAGGCACCAAGGAGAAAACACGUGAACCUUAAUAAGUUUGGGAGCUUUGACAUUCUUCUGUCAAGUCACCUUGCAAGUCUCAUGCUUUCUGGAUUCACUGCAGAUUAGAGUACCCAGAAUUAGCCAAGACCUUCAACAUUUAAUGACUAGCCAUGGAGAAGAAAUAAGAUGAACUGCUUGUCCCAGAAAGCGAUAGAACUUUGAAAGCAGCUAUAUAUUUCCUAGCUACCUCUAAAAAAUGGAGCUGUCUUCAUGAGACCUGUAAGAAGCCAACAGAUCAAAUGGAGGUUCCCAUGAUUUUCUUUUUCCUCAUGGAAACAUGUUUGGUCAGAAGGGAAACAAACCAAUUAAGGUGAUACCAAAGGAUGAUCCUUGAUACAGUUGUAUUUUGGUGGAGCGUUGAGAUUCGCCAGUGAACUCUAACAGUGAGGAUGGCACUGGAAUAAAAAGAGAAGAAACAUGUA